Long non-coding RNA from Perca fluviatilis (European perch), 410 nucleotides. RefSeq lists it as uncharacterized. The record is from RefSeq and is a predicted model, not a curated record. NCBI's taxonomy places the organism in Eukaryota, Metazoa, Chordata, Actinopteri, Perciformes, Percidae. The transcript is spliced from 3 exons.
GGAAAAUUGCGAAAACUUUGAAUGUGCCACCAAAGUUUUUAUAAACUGCCGACUGGAAAAACUGAGCUUUUAUUAGGACAAAAGUGAAUACAGACGUGAGGAAUCAUCAGGGAGAGACUGUGGGAUCCUAAGCUAACGAUAUGUUCAACGUUAUUUGCAGCAAGCAUUUUUGUUACAAAGUCAACUAUGUCUGCUCGGCUCUGGAUUUUCUGUGUUCUGGUGCAGCAGCUUCGUCUUCGUCAGGCCAGCCGGGUCUGUGAUGUCUGAGACCGGUUGAAGGUCUGGCGAGCGCCGGCAGACGGUUUCAGGCGAACUUGCUCCGGCAGACUCUGGUUGACAGUCAGCAGCUGUUUAAACUUCUUUUGGAGCUCAGCCAGCUUCUUCUGCUUCGCCACAAUCUUCAGCUCGGC